This 372-nucleotide ribosomal RNA is filed under the name uncultured organism. Its description in RNAcentral is "partial 16S ribosomal RNA". It matches the Rfam family "Bacterial small subunit ribosomal RNA", at positions 527 to 895 of the family's 1533-position model. The record is from RNAcentral.
GUAGGUGGCAAGCGUUGUCCGGAAUUAUGGGCGUAAAGCGCGCACAGGUGGGGUCUUUAAGUCUGAUGUGAAAGCCCCCGGGCUCAACCGGGGAGGGUCAUUGGAAACUGGGGAACUUGAGUGCAGGAGAGGAAAGUGGAAUUCCACGUGUAGCGGUGAAAUGCGUAGAUAUGUGGAGGAACACCAGUGGCGAAGGCGACUUUCUGGCCUGUAACUGACACUGAGGCGCGAAAGCGUGGGGAGCAAACAGGAUUAGAUACCCUGGUAGUCCACGCCGUAAACGAUGAGUGCUAAGUGUUGGGGGGUUUCCGCCCCUCAGUGCUGCAGCUAACGCAUUAAGCACUCCGCCUGGGGAGUACGGUCGCAAAGACU